GCAUACGGCCAUAGGGACGGGGAAACGCCCAAAUCCAUUCCGAACUUGGAAGCUAAGCCCGUUCACGACAUGAAAUACUGCCCAUCAGGGCGGGAAAGCGUGUUGUCGUGUGCA
This 114-nucleotide ribosomal RNA is filed under the name Microcaldota archaeon. Lineage: Archaea; Nanobdellati; Microcaldota. The record is from RNAcentral.